AUUGAACGCUGGCGGCAGGCCUAACACAUGCAAGUCGAACGGUAACAGGAAGAAGCUUGCUUCUUUGCUGACGAGUGGCGGACGGGUGAGUAAUGUCUGGGAAACUGCCUGAUGGAGGGGGAUAACUACUGGAAACGGUAGCUAAUACCGCAUAACGUCGCAAGACCAAAGAGGGGGACCUUCGGGCCUCUUGCCAUCGGAUGUGCCCAGAUGGGAUUCGCUAGUAGGUGGGGUAACGGCUCACCUAGGCGACGAUCCCUAGCUGGUCUGAGAGGAUGACCGGCCACACUAGAACUGAGACACGGUCCAGACUCCUACGGGAGGCAGCAGUGGGGAAUAUUGCACAAUGGGCGCAAGCCUGAUGCAGCCAUGCCGCGUGUAUGAAGAAGGCCUUCGGGUUGUAAAGUACUUUCAGCGGGGAGGAAGGGAGUAAAGUUAAUACCUUGGCUGAUUGACGUUACCCGCAGAAGAAGCACCGGCUAACUCCGUG
RNAcentral lists this ribosomal RNA (490 nucleotides) under uncultured bacterium. RNAcentral describes it as "partial 16S ribosomal RNA". It matches the Rfam family "Bacterial small subunit ribosomal RNA", at positions 30 to 507 of the family's 1533-position model. The record is from RNAcentral.